Molecule: unclassified non-coding RNA, 333 nt
Filed under: Bombus terrestris (buff-tailed bumblebee)
Lineage: Eukaryota; Metazoa; Arthropoda; Insecta; Hymenoptera; Apidae
Description: misc RNA ENSBTSG00005032774.1
Source: RNAcentral
UUUUCUAUGAAUAUCGAAUCAAUCCCAACAAUUCGACGAUAAAGACGAAGAUACUUUCUAAAAAAUUUCACUGCCAUACACCGAAACGAUAAAGAUUUCUAUCGAAAGUGCACAUCUUCGUGAAAGUUUACAUCUUUAUCGGGAAUCUCUAAAAGUCGAAGUUAAGAAAGAUCGAAAAUCGCAGUUACCCUGAAACGAGUUUCGUAGAAUACAUCGAAACGAAAGAAUACUACGAGAAACUGAAUUAUGCUUAUUUAAGUUCUUCGUAACAGACUGGCGGGAAGUAGCCAAAAUAAACGACGUGAACAAAAAUAAGUACCAAUCGUCUACCUG